GAUGAACGCUGGCGGCGUGCCUAAUACAUGCAAGUCGAGCGAACGGACGAGAAGCUUGCUUCUCUGAUGUUAGCGGCGGACGGGUGAGUAACACGUGGAUAACCUACCUAUAAGACUGGGAUAACUUCGGGAAACCGGAGCUAAUACCGGAUAAUAUUUUGAACCGCAUGGUUCAAAAGUGAAAGACGGUCUUGCUGUCACUUAUAGAUGGAUCCGCGCUGCAUUAGCUAGUUGGUAAGGUAACGGCUUACCAAGGCAACGAUGCAUAGCCGACCUGAGAGGGUGAUCGGCCACACUGGAGCUGAGACACGGUCCGGACUCCUACGGGAGGCAGCAGUAGGGAAUCUUCCGCAAUGGGCGAAAGCCUGACGGAGCAACGCCGCGUGAGUGAUGAAGGUCUUCGGAUCGUAAAACUCUGUUAUUAGGGAAAAACAUAUGUGUAAGUAACUGUGCACAUCUUGACGGUACCUAAUCAGAAAGCCACGGCUAACUACGUG
RNAcentral lists this ribosomal RNA (497 nucleotides) under uncultured bacterium. RNAcentral's name for it is "partial 16S ribosomal RNA". It matches the Rfam family "Bacterial small subunit ribosomal RNA", at positions 28 to 507 of the family's 1533-position model. The record is from RNAcentral.